AACGAACGCUGGCGGCGUGGAUAAGACAUGCAAGUCGAACGGGACUGUUGAGGUAGCAAUAUCGCGACAGUCUAGUGGCGAACGGGUGCGUAACACGUGGAUACAUUCCGGGAAGCGGGGGAUAGCCCAGGGAAACUUGGAUUAAUACCGCAUGUGGUCGAAAGACUAAAGGUGGGGACCGCAAGGCCUGCCACUUCCCGAUUGGUCCGCGGCCUAUCAGCUAGUUGGUGAGGUAAAAGCUCACCAAGGCUACGACGGGUAGCUGGUCUUAGAGGACGACCAGCCACACUGGAACUGAGACACGGUCCAGACACCUACGGGUGGCAGCAGUCGAGAAUCUUUCACAAUGGGGGCAACCCUGAUGGAGCGACGCCGCGUGGAGGAUAAGGUCUUCGGAUUGUAAACUCCUGUCAUGCGAGAACAAGGUUG
This 429-nucleotide ribosomal RNA is filed under the name uncultured bacterium. RNAcentral describes it as "bacterial SSU rRNA". It matches the Rfam family "Bacterial small subunit ribosomal RNA", at positions 29 to 454 of the family's 1533-position model. The record is from RNAcentral.